ACAGUAUUAGGAGGAAUUGUUUUAUAUUAGUCAGGGGUCUAACACACAGUAUUAGGAGGAAUUGUUUUAUUAGUCAGUGGUCUAACAGACAGUAUUAGGAGGAAUUGUUUUAUAUUAGUCAGGGGUCUAACAGACAGUAUUAGGGGGAAUUGUUUUAUAUUAGUCAGGGGUCUAACAGACAGUAUUAGGAGGAAUUGUUUUAUAUUAGUCAGGGGUGUAACACACAGUAUUAGGAGGAAUUAGUUUAUAUUAGUCUGGUCUAGCAGACAGGAGGUUUUGUUUUAUAUUAGUCAGUGAUCUAACAGACAGGAGGAAUUGUUUUGUAUUAGUCAGUGGUCUAACAGACAGUAUUAGGAGGAAUUGUUUUAUAUUAGUCAGUCAUCUAACAGAGACAGUAAUACUUUUGCGGUGGUCUUGGUGUGUGUGUGUCGUAUUCUGUUCCAUUAGUAUUCCAUCACUGUUGUUACCCCCAUGGUUGAAUCGUGAUCUCCCAUAACGUUCCCCAUGUGUUUAAUAUCAGAUCAUAUCUGUCUCCAUUAAAACCCAUUCAAAAAGCAGGCAAACCUGUCACUGAACCACAUCAGUGAAUAUGUAUUCAUCCCCAAUAUUAAAAAGACUGCUAAGGCUUUGUCCCAAAUGGCACCCCAUUCCCUAUAUUGUGCACUACUUUUGACCAAGUGUCCUUAGGGAGUAGGGUGCCGUUUGGGACCACAGCCUAGACUGGUCCGGUUUGCUUCCAGUUGUUCGAUGAGGUUGCCUGAUAAUACAGAGUCAACAAAGUAGAAAUGAUCCCCUGACCCCGGGGAAGCGAUGAGGGGUACUGUUUGUUAUACAUUGCAAACCCCCAACCACUAAAGGACCAGGGAUCACACACAUCAACACACAUCUUGCUUCUCUCUGUCUGGAUCUGGUACGAUAAUGUCUAGUUUCUCUCUCUGUCUGGAUCUGGUACGAUAAGGUCUAGUUUCUCUCUGUCUCGAUCUGGUACGAUAAUGUCUAGUUUCUCUCUCUGUCUGGAGCUAGUACGAUAAUGUCUAGUUUCUCUCUCUGUCUGGAGCUAGUACGAUAAUGUCUAGUUUCUCUCUCUGUCUGGAGCUAGUACGAUAAUGUCUAGUUUCUCUCUCUGUCUGGAGCUAGUACGAUAAUGUCUAGUUUCUCUCUCUGUCUGGAGCUAGUACGAUAAGGUCUAGUUUCUCUCUGUCUGGAUCUGGUACGAUAAUGUCUAGUUUCUCUCUGUCUGGAUCUGGUACGAUAAUGUCUAGUUUCUCUCUGUCAGGAUCUGGUACACUAAUGUCUAGUCUCUGUCUGGAUCUAGUACGAUAAUGUCUAGUUUCAGGUUACUCGGAAUGCAUAGAGAAUGUCCCUGCACUGCUCCGCAGUACAAGAGUGUGUGUGUGUGUG
This is a long non-coding RNA of Oncorhynchus tshawytscha (Chinook salmon), 1401 nucleotides long. Lineage: Eukaryota; Metazoa; Chordata; Actinopteri; Salmoniformes; Salmonidae. The record is from Ensembl.